AGAGGGGACCAGGCGGCCGCGCGGGCCCCGUAAGGGGCAGCGAGGAAAGUCCGAACACCGCAGGGCAGGAUGCCGGGUAACGCCCGGGCGCCGCGAGGCGAUGGAAAGUGCAGCAGAAAAUAUACCGCCCCGUUUUCGGGGUAAGGGUGAAAUGGCGAGGUAAGAGCUCACCGCUCCGUCAGCAAUGACGGGGGCAUUGUAAACCCCAUCCGGUGCAAGACCAAGCAGCAACCGCCCGAGAACGGCCCGUUCAAGGUUGCGGGUAGGUCGCAAAGAGGCCCAUGGCGACAUGGGCCCAAGAUGGAUGGCCGCAUAAACAGGAUUCGGCUUAUGGUCCCCUCUUUUA
This 346-nucleotide RNase P RNA is filed under the name Spirochaetota bacterium. RNAcentral's name for it is "Spirochaetes bacterium (sediment metagenome) RNase P RNA component class A". It matches the Rfam family "Bacterial RNase P class A". From Rfam's summary of the family: Ribonuclease P (RNase P) is a ubiquitous endoribonuclease, found in archaea, bacteria and eukarya as well as chloroplasts and mitochondria. The record is from RNAcentral. Lineage: Bacteria; Pseudomonadati; Spirochaetota.